Molecule: ribosomal RNA, 500 nt
Filed under: uncultured bacterium
Lineage: Bacteria
Description: partial 16S ribosomal RNA
Rfam family: Bacterial small subunit ribosomal RNA
Source: RNAcentral
AUUGAACGCUGGCGGCAUGCCUUACACAUGCAAGUCGAACGGUAACGGGUCCUUCGGGAUGCCGACGAGUGGCGAACGGGUGAGUAAUAUAUCGGAACGUGCCCAGUAGUGGGGGAUAACUGCUCGAAAGAGCAGCUAAUACCGCAUACGACCUGAGGGUGAAAGGGGGGGAUCGCAAGACCUCUCGCUAUUGGAGCGGCCGAUAUCAGAUUAGCUAGUUGGUGGGGUAAAGGCCUACCAAGGCAACGAUCUGUAGUUGGUCUGAGAGGACGACCAGCCAAACUAGGACUGAGACACGGCCCAGACUCCUACGGGAGGCAGCAGUGGGGAAUUUUGGACAAUGGGCGCAAGCCUGAUCCAGCAAUGCCGCGUGCAGGAAGAAGGCCUUCGGGUUGUAAACUGCUUUUGUCAGGGAAGAAAUCUUCUGGGCUAAUACCCCGGGAGGAUGACGGUACCUGAAGAAUAAGCACCGGCUAACUACGUGCCAGCCGCCGCAGUAA